UCAGACUGAAAAUGAUCUCAGACGUGUCGGUGGUCUGAGGUCAGACUCCUGAGCCUAAAGUAUUGUGGUACAUUUAGCUCAUCGCCUGCUCACACGUUGGCAGAGCGAUCAAACCCAUGUGCCGACAAAA
Small nucleolar RNA from Gasterosteus aculeatus aculeatus (three-spined stickleback), 130 nucleotides. NCBI's taxonomy places the organism in Eukaryota, Metazoa, Chordata, Actinopteri, Perciformes, Gasterosteidae. The record is from Ensembl.